RNAcentral lists this ribosomal RNA (963 nucleotides) under Klebsiella pneumoniae. RNAcentral's name for it is "partial 23S ribosomal RNA". It matches the Rfam family "Bacterial large subunit ribosomal RNA", at positions 1 to 1010 of the family's 2925-position model. The record is from RNAcentral. Lineage: Bacteria; Pseudomonadati; Pseudomonadota; Gammaproteobacteria; Enterobacterales; Enterobacteriaceae.
AAGCGACUAAGCGUACACGGUGGAUGCCCUGGCAGUCAGAGGCGAUGAAGGACGUGCUAAUCUGCGAAAAGCGUCGGUAAGGUGAUAUGAACCGUUAUAACCGGCGAUGUCCGAAUGGGGAAACCCAGUGUGAUUCGUCACACUAUCGUUAACUGAAUACAUAGGUUAACGAGGCGAACCGGGGGAACUGAAACAUCUAAGUACCCCGAGGAAAAGAAAUCAACCGAGAUUCCCCCAGUAGCGGCGAGCGAACGGGGAGCAGCCCAGAGUCUGAAUCAGCUUGUGUGUUAGUGGAACGGUCUGGAAAGUCCGACGGUACAGGGUGAUAGUCCCGUACACCAAAAUGCACAGGUUGUGAACUCGAAGAGUAGGGCGGGACACGUGGUAUCCUGUCUGAAUAUGGGGGGACCAUCCUCCAAGGCUAAAUACUCCUGACUGACCGAUAGUGAACCAGUACCGUGAGGGAAAGGCGAAAAGAACCCCGGCGAGGGGAGUGAAAAAGAACCUGAAACCGUGUACGUACAAGCAGUGGGAGCACCUUCGGGUGUGACUGCGUACCUUUUGUAUAAUGGGUCAGCGACUUAUAUUCUGUAGCAAGGUUAACCGUAUAGGGGAGCCGCAGGGAAACCGAGUCUUAACUGGGCGUUAAGUUGCAGGGUAUAGACCCGAAACCCGGUGAUCUAGCCAUGGGCAGGUUGAAGGUUGGGUAACACUAACUGGAGGACCGAACCGACUAAUGUUGAAAAAUUAGCGGAUGACUUGUGGCUGGGGGUGAAAGGCCAAUCAAACCGGGAGAUAGCUGGUUCUCCCCGAAAGCUAUUUAGGUAGCGCCUCGUGAAUUCAUCUUCGGGGGUAGAGCACUGUUUCGGCUAGGGGGUCAUCCCGACUUACCAACCCGAUGCAAACUACGAAUACCGAAGAAUGUUAUCACGGGAGACACACGGCGGGUGCUAACGUCCGUCG